UACGGAAGGCAGCAGGGGGAAUAUUGCACAAUGGGCGAAAGCCUGAUGCAGCUAUGCCGCGUGUAUGAAGAAGGCCUUAGGGUUGUAAAGUACUUUCAUCGGGGAGGAAAAAACAAAACUAAUAAUUUUAUUUCUUGACGUUACCCGAAAAAGAAGCACCGGCUAACUCCGUGCCAGCAGCCGCGGUAAUACGGAGGGUGCUAGCGUUAAUCAGAAUUACUGGGCGUAAAGAGCACGUAGGUGGUUUUUUAAAGUCAGAUGUGAAAUCCCUGGGCUUAACCUAGGAACUGCAUUUUGAAACUGAAAUACUAGAGUAUCGUAGAGGGAGGUAGAAUUCUAGGUGUAGCGGUGAAAUGCGUAGAUAUCUGGAGGAAUACCUGUGGCGAAAGCGGCCUCCUAAACGAAUACUGACACUGAGGGUGCGAAAAGCGUGGGGAGCAAAACAGGGAUUAAAUACC
Molecule: ribosomal RNA, 458 nt
Filed under: uncultured bacterium
Lineage: Bacteria
Description: bacterial SSU rRNA
Rfam family: Bacterial small subunit ribosomal RNA
Source: RNAcentral